UGCAAUGGUGGCAUCUGAAACAAGCUUUGUGGUAAACUUUGUUAUCAGCAGUGAGUUGAUCAACCAAGUAAACAGUCUUGUCACAAGCUUUGCACUUUUGGGUUGUUCCUAAAAAAGCCAUCUUCAUAAAUCUGAAGGAUUCAAAGAAGAAUAUGAACAGAAAAGAAAAGAAGAGAACUGAAGUAUGAAAGCUGAGAAGAAGUAGAAAAUGAGGGAGAUAUAAAGGGCGAGAGUG
RNAcentral lists this unclassified non-coding RNA (235 nucleotides) under Hevea brasiliensis (rubber tree). The record is from RNAcentral. Lineage: Eukaryota; Viridiplantae; Streptophyta; Magnoliopsida; Malpighiales; Euphorbiaceae.